Molecule: long non-coding RNA, 687 nt
Organism: Ctenopharyngodon idella (grass carp)
Lineage: Eukaryota; Metazoa; Chordata; Actinopteri; Cypriniformes; Xenocyprididae
Exons: 3
Source: RefSeq, a predicted model, not a curated record
CCUAUAAAAAGAUUUCAAUCUGAUGCCAAGCAAGAUCACACUCACAUACCUCGUCAAGCUCAAACCUGCCAGCAUGGAUUCAGUGGGAGUGAAUGCGAUUGAAACAGCAGCUCUUGGGAGACCCUUCCAGCUCGGCAUGCUGUAUGACUGCAGAAAGGACGCGUUAAUACCAGGUAUUAGACUUUGGAACAAAGAACAGCUGCAGCAGAAUAUUUGCUCUUGUGCCCAAAUUAAUACAGGAUUCAAAGUCACAGCUUCAGACUCCAUUCAGGACAAAUCUAAAUUACUGAAUAUUGAUGGUGGGCUUAUACUGAGUAUUUUAGGUGAUCUUGUCCAUGUUAGUGGAGCAGCAAAAUAUCUCAAUGACAUCAAGAAGUCUUUCAUACAGCAGAGACUGACGCUACAUUAUCAUUCAACCAGCAGAUUUGAAGAACUGACUGUGAAUCAUUUGCCUUCUGGAAAUAUUCCUGACGAUGAUAAUGAUAUUGCUACACAUGUAGUGACAGGAAUACUGUAUGGAGCAGAUGCCUGCUUUGUGUUUGACAGAGAAGUUUCUUCAAAUGAGGACAAAAAAAAAAGUACACGGAGAAGUAAAAGUGGCCCUUGAGAAACUGCAGGGCAUCGUUUCAGUGGGUGCAAAUGCUGAUCUAAGUGCGAAUCACAAUCAGCAAACUGCAGUCAAAAAAU